Molecule: transfer RNA, 76 nt
Filed under: Craterilacuibacter sinensis
Lineage: Bacteria; Pseudomonadati; Pseudomonadota; Betaproteobacteria; Neisseriales; Neisseriaceae
Description: Neisseriaceae bacterium B2N2-7 tRNA-Gly
Rfam family: tRNA
About the family: Transfer RNA (tRNA) molecules are approximately 80 nucleotides in length. Their secondary structure includes four short double-helical elements and three loops (D, anti-codon, and T loops). Further hydrogen bonds mediate the characteristic L-shaped molecular structure. tRNAs have two regions of fundamental functional importance: the anti-codon, which is responsible for specific mRNA codon recognition, and the 3' end, to which the tRNAs corresponding amino acid is attached (by aminoacyl-tRNA synthetases). tRNAs cope with the degeneracy of the genetic code in two manners: having more than one tRNA (with a specific anti-codon) for a particular amino acid; and 'wobble' base-pairing, i.e. permitting non-standard base-pairing at the 3rd anti-codon position.
Source: RNAcentral
GCGGGAAUAGCUCAGUUGGUAGAGCGCAACCUGGCCAAGGUUGAGGUCGCGAGUUCGAGCCUCGUUUCCCGCUCCA